Molecule: long non-coding RNA, 3145 nt
Filed under: Prunus dulcis (almond)
Lineage: Eukaryota; Viridiplantae; Streptophyta; Magnoliopsida; Rosales; Rosaceae
Description: sRNA ncRNA
Source: RNAcentral
UUAACUUUUACAGUUGCCAAAAUGCAUAGCAUUUUCAUUGAAUGCUUCUUCCCAGAUCAUGCUCUCUGUUGUUCAGCAUUUUAUUUUAUAAUUCAUAUUCAUUUUUGGCACACUAUCAAUAAUCGAAACAUUUCAAGCUCAAUUUUGUCGUUUUGGGUUCUCCAUUAAUAUUUCAUCUCAUUUCUAAUUGAAGAAUUUACAAUUGGUGGCAGGGGAAGUGAUGAUAUCUGGGAGAUGUUGCUCAAGCAACAGUUGCUCCCUUCCACUCUUUACACUCUCCACAUCUAUAGACUAUCAAGUCUGAAAUCUUUGGACAGAAAGGGACUUAAAAACAUCACUUCUCUUUCCUUUCUGAGUAUCUCCAAGUGUUUUUCCCGGUAGAAAAGGUAUAAGAAGAUGACAGGAAAAGAUUGGGCCAACAUAUCUCACAUUCCUUGCAUCAAGAUAGGCCACGAAGUGAUCAUAUGAGAUGAGCUCUCUCUCUCUCUCUCUCUCUCUCUCUCUCUCUCACACACAUUCCUGGAAGUCAUCAUAUGGUAUGUACAUCAAGAUAGGCCCAAUUUUAUUUUAUUUUAUUUUUCCAACAAUUGCAUAUUUGAAGAAUACAUGCAUAUUAUCGUGCAGACUGCCAUGUACAUACAUACCAAAAGGUCUUGUUCAACUGAAAAGAUUGACAUAGGAAAUUUAUUCACAUGGUAUAAGUAACAGAUUCAUGAAUGGAAAAUGCGAUCCAAAGCAUAUUGGUUACUUUUAUGACUCUUUGGAUUAGUAGUAGUUGGCAUAUCAGCUGAGGCUUUAUGACUGUAUUAUUAAAAGGAGUCAGCCGCUCAGAAUAAAAACUACAUAUUUCAAAAGUGUAUCUCCCUGAUCCAGCUGCUGCUUCAUUACCUAGUAGCUUUAUCUAUGUAGUUGCGGCUAGUAAGAAGGUAAGAUUGAGCUGAGUUAACCUUGCUUCGUGCAAUGCAUUGUUGUGUAAAGCUUAAAUUUUUUGGUAGAAAGAAGAGGGCUAUGGUUUUCGAGAUACGUGAUGAAUGACAACUGGGCAGUUUGGUUGGAUAGGGAUAGGAGGUUCUUUGAUGAUUUGAAGGGUGAGGGGAUGUGGAUCACUUGUGGGAGAGGGUUCAUUUCUUUGGCGCCUCAUUGGACUCUGUAUCCUUGGACUUUAGGAAAUUUUCUUUCUUCGUCGUCUAUACAAAUAAGCAAGUUGCUGUAGUUUAGAUCUUCUUUAUGUGAUGUUUCUGUUUUGUUCAUUGGUGUUUGAGUUGUUCUGUAAUUGUUUUUGUUUUGACCUGCUAAGGGUGUGUACCUUGCGGGCUGUUGCUAUACUCCUUUAUUUUUCAUGAAAGUGGGGUUUCGUCAUUGAAAAAAAAGAAGAAGAAUUUUUGUGUAUGUAAAACGAUACAGAGAUAGGACUAUAUAAGUUGAAGGCAUAUUACAUAACUAGAGGGAAAAUAUCAAUUAAGAAUCAGUUGACAUAUUUUUAUUGCCUAAUUCUUGAUACCCGGGAGUAUUGACUUCCAACAUGAUUGAGGUCUUAUGCUAAUUGGCAUAUUUAUUGCAUUUAUAAUAUCUUAUGUGCAAAUGAUUUUCUUGUUUGUUUUUACAGUCCCACAAAUCAUUCCUUCAGCUGCAAAGUUCCAUUUGAUGACACUUGAAAUGUUGUAUGUAUACUUGUAGACUCAUGUUUGGAGGUCAAAGAAACUUGUGUAGGCAACCAUGCAUGAUUUCAGAGUCGAAGCUGCUUCACUGGCCUUUCUGUGCUCGCUUCUGUAAAGGUAUAUCAGAUUAGUUUGUCAUCAAGAUUUAAUAUGGUUCACUUUUUUGUUGCUUUCCUAUUACCAUCAAUUUUCUUAUUCCAAAUUGGAUUGGUAGGAUCAAACCAAGCAGGUUCAUACAUUGAAUGUAUGACAUCAUCAGCGUUUCAGACAGAAAAUGGGCCUUGAAUUGUGUUCUGAGCCAGUGGAUUUUUCUAGAAUCUAAAGUGCAAUGGAAAAUUACUGAAGUGAUCUACACGAAGAGUAAACAUUUUUUCUGUUGGAUGCUGGAGGUGCCUCUUAUAAGUGGCUAAGUUGCAAUAUGUGGUGUCAUCAAAUGCUCUGCAAAAAGGUAAGUCAUCAAGUAACUUACGCUUUUAAUUAUUUGAUGGGUAUAUCAUCUCAGUUCUUGUAAUGUGGAGUCGUCACCAACAGGUCCGUCACAUUACAUUAGUCAUAUAUGGGAUUUGAAUCAUUACUUUGUGCUAUUGAACACUCAAAUGGAGAUAGAUUUUUUGUCUGUGGAUGCCACUGGUUAAUAUUGUCAUGUCAUUGGUUAUUUAUUGUACUUGAACAGUCAAUUGAGAUUGAUUGUUUUGUCUCAUUUCUGAUGGUUGCUUACUUAAAUCUGUUCUUCAGCAGUUCAAGUUGAGACUGGAGCUGAACAAGGAUCAGGUCAGCUGUAUAUUUCGUGGUAAACACCUCUUUCUAUACACAUUUCCUACUGUCUACAUAGAUUAAUUUAUCAGCAUGAUUCUAUAGUGCAUUUAGAACCUAAACAUAAAGAAUAAAUUCCUGUUGUCAUUAAUUUGUCGAUUCGAAUUUGGACUUCUAGGAACAGACCCAGCAUGUUCAUACAUGGCUUGGCUCACUUCAUCUUCUUUUGAGACAGAAAAUCAGCCUUCAACCGUCUGCUGAUACAAUAGACUUUUCUAUAUAUCUCAAGUGCAAUGGAAAAUUGCAGACUUACAUAAAGAUUCGCAAAGAUUUCUGUUUGAAAUUUUCUACCAGAGGCUGGAAAUGCUGCUUAUAAGUGGCUAAGUUGCAAAAAAUUGUAGGAUUGAAGGCUCUGCAGACUGCACAGAGGUAAGAAGUCAUCGUCAUCAAGUAACUCCUGAAUGGCUGCAUCUUAGAAGAAUGACACUGAAUCUGUAUAGCUCAUCUUCAAUCUAAAGAUUAGAAGUCACAUGAAAAAGUGUUGUAUUCUUUUGUCCUCUAUUGUAGUUUAUUUGGUGCUCUUUUGACUUUUAGAGGUGUUUUCAAAUUUGAGAAUCCAGUAAAUGCAUGCGUACAUAUAUUGAAAGUAUUCCAUAUGAUUUCUUCUCGAAGAAUUUUCGCGAUAAUAUUUCUGAGAAGUGUUUUCUUACAUACUGAUGAAAUGAAGUAAUCAC